UACGAAAGGUGCAAGCGUUGUUCGGAAUGACUGGGCGUAAAGCGCACGUAGGCGGGCCGGUCAGUCACAGGUGAAAGCCCCGAGCUCAACUCGGGAACUGCCUGUGAUACUGCCAGUCUUGAAUGCUCGAGAGGUCAGUGGAAUUCCUGGUGUAGGAGUGAAAUCCGUAGAUAUCAGGAGGAACAUCAGCGGCGAAGGCGGCUGGCUGGCGAUGCAUUGACGCUGAGGUGCGAAAGCGUGGGGAGCAAACAGG
This 253-nucleotide ribosomal RNA is filed under the name uncultured bacterium. RNAcentral's name for it is "partial 16S ribosomal RNA". It matches the Rfam family "Bacterial small subunit ribosomal RNA", at positions 524 to 776 of the family's 1533-position model. The record is from RNAcentral.